AGAGAACAUGACUGACAAAGAUCUAUUGGACAGUGAUUAUGAAGGGAUUUCACAAAUACAUGAGCACAGUUACAUUGUGAUAUCGGACUCUGACGAGACACAACCACCUUCACCUUUUGGUUGACAGGAAUAUUCCAGUGAAAGAUCAGUUGUUUAACAGCCUUUUUGACAAACAAAUUCCUGGUGCUGCCAUUCCUAAUCAACCGCCAUAUCAGAAUUUUGGAUAAGAAUUCAGAUUACUGGCUGCAUAUUCAACCGAAUUUUUGGGUACUGGGUUGGUGGGGGGUAACGUGUUUCAGACCAGAAUCCUGCCGGACCAUCCAAUUGCAAGGACAUCUAACAUAGCUGAAAUGUAUCUGUAAUGAAUUAUUAAAAGUUUGGAUAAAAAAUGUGUUCUUAAAUCAUUAUUUUAAACAAAUUAUACACCCAGGUUGACUAUUUUGAAAAAAUGAAAAAUGACAAUUUUUACACAUGGGAUUUUUCAAUGUUUCCGCAUUC
Molecule: long non-coding RNA, 498 nt
Organism: Dreissena polymorpha
Lineage: Eukaryota; Metazoa; Mollusca; Bivalvia; Myida; Dreissenidae
Exons: 4
Source: RefSeq, a predicted model, not a curated record